CUUCUCAAAUGAUUUGUAGGAAAUAUUUUAUUUUGUCUUGUUCUAUAAUCUCUUAUAUGUUUCAGCUUUCCAGUUCUUAUAAAUAAUUAGAAUCAGUGUUUGUUCGUGUUGAAUCAGUGUUUGUCGUGUUGAAUCAGUGUUUGUUCGUGUUGAAUCAGUGUUUGUUCGCGUUGAAUCAGUGUUUGUUCGCGUUGAAUCAGUGUUCGUUCGCGUUGAAUCAGUGUUGGUGCUCUUUAGUGUUAUAUAAGUUGGUUAAAUAAAAUUAAAUUGAAUGCAAAAUUGUGAUGUAGAGUGAGUGUUAGUGGAUAUUAUUCAUCAUGGGGCAUAUAUAUCAUCAUGGGGCAGGAUGCUCAUCGUGCGAAGGAUCGACAAAGGCUGUGUUGAAGUAUAAGAAGAAUCAUUCAUCAUCAUCCAGUCCUGGAGCAGGAUGCUUAUCGUGCAAAGGAUCAACAAAGACUCCAAUCGUCAUUGCAAUCGUGCGCGUGGCAAUGGAUGGAGUAUUGUAUCGUUUAAAUCAAAUAAAAAUCGCGAAUUAGAAGCACCGUUCGUCCGUUCAUUUAAAUUCGUUCGCGUUACGCGACUGAAAUUUUAGAAAUGCAAAUAUUUAAAUCGACUGCGAGCAAUGUAGUCAUUUAUAG
This is a long non-coding RNA of Vespula pensylvanica (western yellowjacket), 638 nucleotides long. RefSeq lists it as uncharacterized. Lineage: Eukaryota; Metazoa; Arthropoda; Insecta; Hymenoptera; Vespidae. The record is from RefSeq and is a predicted model, not a curated record. The transcript is spliced from 3 exons.